GGUUUGAGAGGAUGAUCCGCCACACUGGGACUGAGACACGGCCCAGAUUCCUACGGGAGGCAGCAGUGGGGAAUAUUGGACAAUGGGGGGAACCCUGAUCCAGCCAUGCCGCGUGUGUGAAGAAGGCCUUAUGGUUGUAAAGCACUUUAAGCGAGGAGGAGGCUACUUUAGUUAAUACCUAGAGAUAGUGGACGUUACUCGCAGAAUAAGCACCGGCUAACUCUGUGCCAGCAGCCGCGGUAAUACAGAGGGUGCGAGCGUUAAUCGGAUUUACUGGGCGUAAAGCGUGCGUAGGCGGCUUAUUAAGUCGGAUGUGAAAUCCCCGAGCUUAACUUGGGAAUUGCAUUCGAUACUGGUGAGCUAGAGUAUGGGAGAGGAUGGUAGAAUUCCAGGUGUAGCGGUGAAAUGCGUAGAGAUCUGGAGGAAUACCGAUGGCGAAGGCAGCCAUCUGGCCUAAUACUGACGCUGAGGUACGAAAGCAUGGGGAGCAAACAGGAUUAGAUACCCUGGUAGUCCAUGCCGUAAACGAUGUCUACUAGCCGUUGGGGCCUUUGAGGCUUUAGUGGCGCAGCUAACGCGAUAAGUAGACCGCCUGGGGAGUACGGUCGCAAGACUAAAACUCAAAUGAAUUGACGGGGGCCCGCACAAGCGGUGGAGCAUGUGGUUUAAUUCGAUGCAACGCGAAGAACCUUACCUGGCCUUGACAUACUAGAAACUUUCCAGAGAUGGAUUGGUGCCUUCGGGAAUCUAGAUACAGGUGCUGCAUGGCUGUCGUCAGCUCGUGUCGUGAGAUGUUGGGUUAAGUCCCGCAACGAGCGCAACCCUUUUCCUUACUUGCCAGCAUUUCGGAUGGGAACUUUAAGGAUACUGCCAGUGACAAACUGGAGGAAGGCGGGGACGACGUCAAGUCAUCAUGGCCCUUACGGCCAGGGCUACACACGUGCUACAAUGGUCGGUACAAAGGGUUGCUACACAGCGAUGUGAUGCUAAUCUCAAAAAGCCGAUCGUAGUCCGGAUUGGAGUCUGCAACUCGACUCCAUGAAGUCGGAAUCGCUAGUAAUCGCGGAUCAGAAUGCCGCGGUGAAUACGUUCCCGGGCCUUGUACACACCGCCCGUCACACCAUGGGAGUUUGUGCACCAGAAGUAGCUAGCCUAACUGCAAAGAGGGCGGUUGUAACA
RNAcentral lists this ribosomal RNA (1179 nucleotides) under Acinetobacter baumannii. RNAcentral's name for it is "bacterial SSU rRNA". It matches the Rfam family "Bacterial small subunit ribosomal RNA", at positions 289 to 1461 of the family's 1533-position model. The record is from RNAcentral. Lineage: Bacteria; Pseudomonadati; Pseudomonadota; Gammaproteobacteria; Moraxellales; Moraxellaceae.